UACGAAGGGGGCUAGCGUUGCUCGGAAUCACUGGGCGUAAAGGGUGCGUAGGCGGGUCUUUAAGUCAGGGGUGAAAUCCUGGAGCUCAACUCCAGAACUGCCUUUGAUACUGAGGAUCUUGAGUUCGGGAGAGGUGAGUGGAACUGCGAGUGUAGAGGUGAAAUUCGUAGAUAUUCGCAAGAACACCAGUGGCGAAGGCGGCUCACUGGCCCGAUACUGACGCUGAGGCACGAAAGCUA
Molecule: ribosomal RNA, 239 nt
Filed under: uncultured bacterium
Lineage: Bacteria
Description: partial 16S ribosomal RNA
Rfam family: Bacterial small subunit ribosomal RNA
Source: RNAcentral